RNAcentral lists this small RNA (386 nucleotides) under Caenorhabditis elegans. RNAcentral describes it as "Unclassified non-coding RNA F22G12.10". The record is from RNAcentral. Lineage: Eukaryota; Metazoa; Nematoda; Chromadorea; Rhabditida; Rhabditidae.
AUGUGUUCAACAACUGGGCGCCCGUCUCCACGUGGAUAAUUGCAUCAAAAUCUAUGAAUUCGCUGAAAAACAGUCUCUCCGUCAACUUUCCACAGUCGCCGGCUCGAUGAUUGCGGGGGCGUGGCCGAAACUUGGCCCCGCCCACUUUGCACAAAUGACCGCCGCAUUGUUGUAUCGAUUGAUUGAUGGGUUGGUUGCCGAUUGUCGAAAAAUUUAAAUUUUUUUUCCAGAAAUACCAAAAACGUGCUUCACUCGAUUGUGUCUAUUGGUCGGGAAGAUGUACUUUUCCUGUAUUUUAUGCAAAAUUCUGCGAAAAUUCCAAAAAUCCUGAACGAUUUGGACCCGCAAGGAGCCAGUGCACUUGAAAUUGCACUUUGCUCGGAGCG